Long non-coding RNA from Sphaerodactylus townsendi, 1285 nucleotides. RefSeq lists it as uncharacterized. The transcript is spliced from 3 exons. The record is from RefSeq and is a predicted model, not a curated record. Lineage: Eukaryota; Metazoa; Chordata; Lepidosauria; Squamata; Sphaerodactylidae.
GCAGGCGCCAGGCUGCCUAGUCUCGCGGGAUCCCGGCCCACCCACCCCCCUCCCCUAUAUAAAUGCACGGCCAGCCCUGUUUCUUCCUUUCCAGAUCGCUAGGGGGAAGGACUAUGGCUGAAUUGUGAACAGUGGUUUGCCUGCUUAGAAGUGUGGCCUCCUGAAAAAACACACUGCAUUUGAAUGCAUGAAAAUAGCAGUUGAAUAGUUAUUCUUCUUUUUAAAAGGAAAGAACAAAAAUGACUUGUCACUGGUUCAUCGAUAACCGUGUUGAUGUUAACAGACAGAACCUGAAAGAAACACUGAAGAUUUUUCACUCAUGUUAUGCAAUGAAGAGGUUGAUUGGAACUGGGGGUUUGGUUUGAUGGUACCACUCACUUGAAAGGAAUUUUUUUUCUAAUAUGCAUUUGAUUUUAGGUGUUUUCACUUGUUUAUAGUUAGAAUGGCUUAGGAAUGCUUUCCUUAUCCAGGAAGUGAGAUGAAGUGGUUAAAAUGGAGCUUUUUGCACAAAUAGCAGUCCGAUUCUAUAUUGACGCUGCAUAGAAAUUUCUCCCUGUUAAUCUGGACAAAUUUCCUUUCUGACCAACUUAAAGGUGAUCACUUCACUUGGAGCACAAGAGCUAUCCACUAAAUCUUCGAAGUGAACAGUUUUUACAGGUGCAUAUAAUUAUUAACAGACUGAUAUGGGCAGUCUCUAAUUUCUUACAAGACAUACAUUGAGAGGUGUGAUGGAUUACACUAUGAAACAGGAACUCUCAGAACCAUAUUUAUGAGGUGUCAUGUCCUCACAAAGCAAGUCACUGUGUUGUUCUGGCUUCUGCCUUUUCUCUGCUCCUACUGGCAGUGUGUAGCAUGAACAGUUGGUUCUCGCAUCCUUGUGCCAUUGUGAAAUUGGUUUGGGAGCUCCCUGUUUUGAAAGUAGUUUGUUGUGGAGGUGGUGAGGUAGGGGAGUCUUGAAUUAAGUAACAAUUUCCAGCCCAGGGUGUUCCAAAGUGUUUUUAGAAAGUGGGUGGAGCUUUUGCCCAGCAAGGCUUCUGACUGGCCACUGGAGUUUUGAUUGGAUGUGUAGAUUUUUAAAAACUUGCUUUUCCAAAGGCUGUCACCACAGUACAAGAAUCUUCAGUAUGUGACUGAAAAUAAGCUGUGACACCCAUUUUGUGGUUGGCUCUGCCUACUGAAGCAGCCAUUUUUUUGAUGGCACCCACCCAAAAUGCUUUAGUAUUAAGCAGCAGUGGCAUAGUCGUUGAGAACAUUGGCACUCUCUAAUCUGGAGGAACCGGGUUUU